Non-coding RNA from Styela clava, 397 nucleotides. The record is from RefSeq and is a predicted model, not a curated record. NCBI's taxonomy places the organism in Eukaryota, Metazoa, Chordata, Ascidiacea, Stolidobranchia, Styelidae.
CUGUGCAUAACAGACCGUCUGCGGUAAACAACUCCAAUUUUCAAUAGAUAGAAUAAGUGGGUGGGCACAGUUUGUGUUGAAUGUGGAAAACUUACAUUGUGUGGAGAGGUCUGGAGGUUUAAGCUUGCUGGUACAGGAUGUUGAUUUUCUUGAAAAUGAAGAUGAUCACAGUAUUGGGACUUACAAGUAGAUAAUAGCAGAGGAACUAAAUGAGAGAAAUAUAGCAGAUGAGCAGUGCUGCAGUGAACAACUCAUAGGAUGUUGAUUUUCUUGAAAAUGAAGAUGAUCACAGUAUUGGAACUCACAAGUAGCUAAUAGCAGAGAAACUAAAUGGGAGGAAUAUAGCGGAUGAGCAGUGAACAACUGAUAGAUUGUAAGUCCAGUAAGUAAGCCCAGA